This 477-nucleotide small RNA is filed under the name Pongo abelii (Sumatran orangutan). Its description in RNAcentral is "processed transcript". Lineage: Eukaryota; Metazoa; Chordata; Mammalia; Primates; Hominidae. The record is from RNAcentral.
GAGUGCUGAAUAAGUUUCUGUCAUAGAUGAGAGAAUUCUGUAUACGACUGCGGAACCUGGUACACAGUGGAGCAACCAAAGGAGAAAUCUCGGCCACGCAGGACGUCAUGAUGGAGGAGAUAUUCCGAGUGGUGUGCAUCUGUUUGGGUAAUCCACCAGAGACAUUCACCUGGGAGUAUCGAGACAAAGAUAAAAAUUAUCAGAAGAUUGGCCCCAUAACACCCUUGGAGUUUUACAGGGAACAUGUCAAGCCACUCUUCAAUAUGGAAGAUAAGAGUGAGUUUUGAGGGCUGGGUGCGGUGGCUCAUGCCUGUAAUCCCAGCACACUGGGAGGCUGUGGUGAGUGGAUCACCUGAGUUCGGGAGUUCGAGACCAGCCUGGCCAACAUGGUGAAACUCUGUCUCUACUAAAAAUACAAAAAUUAGCUAGGCAUGGUGGCGCACAUCUGUAAUCCCAGCUACUUGGGAGGCUGAAGCA